This is a non-coding RNA of Myodes glareolus (Bank vole), 498 nucleotides long. The record is from RefSeq and is a predicted model, not a curated record. Lineage: Eukaryota; Metazoa; Chordata; Mammalia; Rodentia; Cricetidae.
UGGGAAGAGGGAUGCUCAAUCUCCAGUCGUGACCCAGCCGCAGAGGAAGCAAAAUGUGACUGCCUUGCCGAAAAAGGAUACAAAGAUGCCAGACCUGGAGUCCAAGGUACCUGCAUAGCCAUUGAUUGUGUUGCUGGCUGGUGGGACUACUGACUGGGAAACCGGAGAGAGCCCACGGAAUGGUAAUUGAUAAGGAAGGAGUUGGAGCAGAUACCGACGCUCUUGCUGUUUUCAGAGAUAAAAGACCAAUAGUCAGAGACCGUCAUCUGGAUAAAAGUCGGUGUGAGGGGAUGCGACUGAGGUGGCAGGGAGCUUGAAGGAGCAGGCUCCUCAGACAUCUGGAAGCUGGAAAAGGACACCCAGGGGAAAGGAUGAAUUGGAAAAGAAAGCUUCAGAAAUAAAGGACUUCUUCAAAGGAUGUCGCGGGCAAAGAGCAGCCGUGUUGGGGGUUACCUGGAAAAGAAAACCCAGAAGCUGAGAAAUCAAAGGGAGACAGGC